Molecule: ribosomal RNA, 552 nt
Filed under: uncultured bacterium
Lineage: Bacteria
Description: bacterial SSU rRNA
Rfam family: Bacterial small subunit ribosomal RNA
Source: RNAcentral
UGGGGAAUUUUGGACAAUGGGGCGCAAAGCCUGAUCCAGCCAUGCCGCGUGUCUGAAGAAGGCCUUCGGGUUGUAAAGGACUUUUGUCAGGGGAAGAAAAGGAUAGGGUUAAUACCCCUGUCUGAUGACGGUACCUGAAGAAUAAGCACCGGCUAACUACGUGCCAGCAGCCGCGGUAAUACGUAGGGUGCGAGCGUUAAUCGGAAUUACUGGGCGUAAAGCGGGCGCAGACGGUUACUUAAGCAGGAUGUGAAAUCCCCGGGCUCAACCUGGGAACUGCGUUCUGAACUGGGUGACUAGAGUGUGUCAGAGGGAGGUAGAAUUCCACGUGUAGCAGUGAAAUGCGUAGAGAUGUGGAGGAAUACCGAUGGCGAAGGCAGCCUCCUGGGAUAACACUGACGUUCAUGCCCGAAAGCGUGGGUAGCAAACAGGAUUAGAUACCCUGGUAGUCCACGCCCUAAACGAUGUCGAUUAGCUGUUGGGCAGCUUGACUGCUUAGUAGCGAAGCUAACGCGUGAAAUCGACCGCCUGGGGAGUACGGUCGCAAGAUUA